ACCAAAAGGGCCAACUCAUUAAUAGGGACAGUACAUAGUGAAGGAAAUAAAAAUUGAGGAUGAACCAGAAGGAAGAGAAAGAGAGAAGAGUAAACUCUUUGUAAAUGACUUUCUCUAGUAUGAGUGGAGCAGGUCAACGAUUAUAAGAUGAGCUCCUUAAGGGCAGGGGAUACAUGGAACAACAUGAUUUCAUCUUUCUUCUUAUUCUUAGUGCUUACUUAACACAAUAAUUGUCAGUAGUACAGAGAGUCUCAUUGCCAGAAGGAUAGCCCCAAGAAUUAAUGAAAACUUCUACUAAGAUAUAGCCAGAUCUGUCUGGGUGGAAGCAUGAAAUGAAAUCACAAGUCUUUGAAGUAUGGAAGUAAAUACAGAAGACUGUGCAAGAAUAUAUGACUGGCUGAAAGCUACAUCCAAGGCAUUUCUGGACACUGACGUGCAGAAGUCCCUCUUCGUGAUUUGUCUCUCCUACAGUUGCCAGUGAAUCACUGUCUGAGCCAACAGAGCUACUCUGUCCCUCUUACAAAUGUGGAAUUAAAUCAAUUUAGCAAUGAA
Long non-coding RNA from Monodelphis domestica (gray short-tailed opossum), 552 nucleotides. RefSeq lists it as uncharacterized. NCBI's taxonomy places the organism in Eukaryota, Metazoa, Chordata, Mammalia, Didelphimorphia, Didelphidae. The record is from RefSeq and is a predicted model, not a curated record.